This 253-nucleotide ribosomal RNA is filed under the name uncultured bacterium. RNAcentral's name for it is "partial 16S ribosomal RNA". It matches the Rfam family "Bacterial small subunit ribosomal RNA", at positions 524 to 776 of the family's 1533-position model. The record is from RNAcentral.
UACAGAGGGUGCGAGCGUUACUCGGAAUUACUGGGCGUAAAGCGUGCGUAGCCGGUUAUUUAAGUCGGGCGUGAAAGCCCCGGGCUCAACCUGGGAAUUGCAUUCGAGACUGAAUAGCUAGGGUACGGUAGAGGGAAGCGGAAUUUCCGGUGUAGCGGUGAAAUGCGUAGAUAUCGGAAGGAACAUCAGUGGCGAAAGCGGCUUCCUGGACCAGUACCGACGUUCAGGCACGAAAGCGUGGGGAGCAAACAGG